RNAcentral lists this long non-coding RNA (20647 nucleotides) under Glycine max (soybean). RNAcentral's name for it is "long non-coding RNA (GMAX_LNC001672)". The record is from RNAcentral. Lineage: Eukaryota; Viridiplantae; Streptophyta; Magnoliopsida; Fabales; Fabaceae.
UAGCACCAAAUGCAACAAAAUGAAGUAGCAAUUACUAAUGGAUGACUAAUGCCUGACUCACGGUAACAACAAAGUUUUCCACAGAAGCAUGAAAUAAGAACAAAGGUUAUUCUAAAAUUUCUAUUUUAGAAUAUAGAAGAACAAGGUGGAGUCCUGCCAUCUUAUAACUUGGGAGAAAAUCUUGGGUGAUCCCACUCUGUGACAACAUGGUCACGAGUUAUCUCCUUGAGCGAACGGCAACCACUUAGUGCCAUUGUUAGUUCAAAUUCAUCACGAAGCAUUUGAAGUACUUUUCUCACACCAGUCUCACCAUCAGCAGCCAAUGAGAACACCACAGGCCUACCAAUCUGAAAUUUGAGAUGAAAGGCAAAGAUAUAAAUAGUAGGAAUAUGGGACUAGCUAGAUUAUAAUAGAUCAUCUGCCUACAAUGAAAAACUAGUAAACCAAUGCAACAGAAGAACAUAUUGCCUUGCCAUAUUCCAUAAGGCAAACAAACACACAUAUACUGAAGUUAAGCAUUCAAUAGUUUAAUUUGCUAUGAUGGUGAUCAAGCUUUCAUGUACUUACGAAUACACCAGCUGCUCCAAGAGCUAGUGCUUUAAAAACAUCUGUCCCUCGGCGAAUUCCACCAUCCAGAAAAACUGGAAUUUUUCCUUGUGCAGCUUUAACUACCUAUUCAAGUCAGGCAACCAUUAUUUCCAAUAUGUUUCAUGAAUUGAAAGAGGAGACUAUUCAAUAGGACCCAAAAAAUUAAAAAGAAGAUGAAAAUGCAAUGAUUAUGAGUAAGGAAGCAGGCAAUGAAAAAGAAUUUUGCAAUGAUUCAAAUAUAGCAGCUUUAAAGUUUUAAUGCAUUAAGCAUUAUGAAAUAAAAUCAAAAAAAGAAUGAGCAAGACUUUAGUUCCACUAGCAAGAAUGAUAGCAAGUGGUUCGUUUCUAUUUCAAUUAAUAUAAAAUUUCCAGAAAUGGUUAGGAUAUAGUACCUCUUCCAAAGCCAUAAUAGUUGCAGGGACAUAGUCAAGUUGACGAGCUCCGUGAUUGGAAACAAUGAUUCCAGCAGCUCCAGCUUGUAUGGCUAACCUUGCUACAUUAUUAGAUAUGGGAUAAGAUUAAAGAUUGAGAAAACAAUUCUAAAUAGAUAAAUGGACAGGGAAGAAACAAUGUGCAUCUGUUUGAUAGGCUUACUAUCUUCAGCAGUAAGGACACCCUUAACUAAAAUUGGCAAUGAAGUGAUUGAUUGAAGCCAUUUGAUAUCCUGAAACAAGAUUUUCCAUAUUAUUACUUCCACAUUCAGUGCCACAGAUUAGGAAAUUGUAUGUGUGAAAGAUCUAUAUCACCUUCCAGUUGAGUGACCGAUCAAUUUGUCCAGCAACAUAAGAGGCAAGACCGGAGUCACUAGUCUGCAAUGUAAUCCCACACAGCAAAUAGUAACAGUAACAACAAUAAUAUGACCAAUAAUGAAAAAACUCAGUUAUUUCAAAAUUUCAAACCAAAUAUUGGAAAAGAGCAAUGUAAUCACACACCUUGUCCAGCUUUCCAAGAUCCAAUCCUUCAAAAUUCUUCAAAACCAGGUUUGGUGGCAAUGUAAAUCUGUAAAAUACCCCGUCAAACUAGCCAGUAAAAUAUCUUAAAGUAGGAGAUUUAUCAAUUCAACCAUGAUGAACCAUGUAAUGUUUCGUGGGAAGGCUGUUCUAAUUGAAAUUUCCAAAUGGUUGCCAACCUGUUUUUGAUGUCAGCCUCCCUACGACCAAGAAUUGGAGUGUCGACAGUAAGGGCAAUUGCCUUGAAACCAGCUCUUUCAGCUCUUCUCACAAGCUGAGCAACCACAUUUCUGUCUUUAAACACCUGAGAGAAGAAGAUAACAGUAACAUAUUAGGUAUUAAGACAAGAAUGUUGAGGAUUUUAGAUAAUAGGAGAUAUUAAUAUUAGCGCUUGCAUAACUGAGGAAAAAAUACCCACAUAAAGUUGAAAAAAACGAAUGUCAGGACCUGUUGAAGCAACCUCCUCAACACUGGAAGUAGCCCAUGAGGAUAGUGUCUGUGAUAAAAAAAAAAUUAUAAAAUUUAAUCUGCUGGAAAGUGAAUAAGUACAACAAAUGCAUGUAGUUCAGUAGGCAUAUAAAAUUUCAUAUUGCAGUCAAAUAAAUAAUAAAACUACAAGGAAAGAAAUAUAGUUUUCAGCUUGAAAUAAAACGAAAGUGCAUGACAAAUAUAGUGAAAGCCAAACCAUGAUUGUGCCAGCUGCUGAUGCUGCUCUAGCAGUAGCUAAUUCUCCUGCAUAAAAUUUGCAUAAUUUGUUUUAAUUCAGAAGCUUUUCUCAAUUGCUGUUGCAGUACGAAAUAAACUACUAUUAAAAAUAUAUUAGGAAUCAGGGACUUGUGCAUUAACAAAAUCAGCAGAGUUUAUGUUUAAUUCAGAUUAAUUUUAUACUUUGUAGUUAUACAAAAAAUAACCACCACAAUAGUUAAAUGAUGUCAAGGUUGGAGUAUUCAGCAAUAUUCUGCUGUAUAAAACAUACUCAUUGCAAUUUGCAAACAUUUUGCAAAACAAUUUAGACAAUCUUAACAUGCUGGAAUUUUCUCCCCAAAAUGGUUGGAUGAAAUUGACUGAGAUUUUUAAGAUAAAUUCAUUUGCUUCAUAUGGGAUUGUAAUCUUAUUUAAGAAAGGUUAAUAGCAGUUUUUGUUUAGAAGGGAAUGUUCUGUUGUCCUCGUAAUUUAGCAAAGCUCGUUUAAAUCUCCUUUCAUGUUCUUGUGCUUAUAGCACACUAAAGUAUACAGAACCUAUACUGGUUUCAGUAUAAACAUACUCCGUAAGCUUUCUUUCAAAGAGCCACAAGAUACCUUCUCAUUCAAUUAAAUGCUAAGAAGCUACAUUUUAUGGCAUUCUAUACCUCAUCCUAUAAUCAUUCCACCUCAAGGUAUGGAAAUGGUUAACUCAGUGCUUUUUGGCUUUUGCCAUAUGAGAGUGAAGUAGUUAUACUUGUAUAUGACAAAAAGAACAACAACAAGAAAAGACUGAAGUUAUGUUUAGUUUUCGGUUGGGAGGCUUUUAAAGUCCGCUCAAAAAGUAAAACAGAAAAAACUUUGUUUGAUUUUCAGUUGGAUUCGAUUGGAAACUGAAACUCAGUUUGAAAAAGAAGUAAAGGAAAAGUUGCUUUUGCAUACUCAAUUUACUAAAUUAAAGUUCAUUCACUUGAGUUUGUAAACUUUAAUCCAAACAUGCACAAAAUGUAAUGACAAUAUCUUAAUGUGGCACAGACCAAAAAAUCUGAUGACAUACCUUCAGGGUGAGCCAUCUUUUGCAUGGCUGUUGGAGCAAUCAUGAUAGGCAUUGAUAUUUUGAAGCCCAAUACAGUUGCAGUCAAGUCUAUCUUGCUCACAUCAACAAGAAUACGCGGCCGGAACCUGUUUGAAGUAACCAAAUAGAUAUUGAGAGAAGGGCUUCAGAACAAAAAAGAUGAAAAUUAAUUAAAGGAAGCACAUGUUGCAAUCUCGUAAAACAGGGAUUCAGGGAAUCCUAAUGUGUCCUUAGUAAAUAAAAGGAAAGGUUUUUUGAAUGAAAAGUUUCUAGAGGGAUAGAACAGAUAAGUGGAGGUCCUAGUUCCUGAGAAAAGUAGAUUACAGAAUCCUUGAGAAUGCAUUUCGGUUCUCCUUCAAAGUCCACUGAUCCUCUGCCCCUGAUGCAUAGUAGUCAUAAACCAUCUUUGGCAAUUUUUCCUUUGCAAUUGCCUCAUACUCGGUAACAUUAGUUAUCAUCUCCAUCUUCAUAAGAUUUACUUACAAUGUCCGCAGGAUCUGCUGAAAUUGAGUUUGAAGCAUAGUGUGAUUAAAUAACCUAAAAUUAUAUCAAAUGCAUACCAAUGCAAAGAUGCUAUGCAAUAUCAAUAAAUGCAAGCAUGAAUAUAUCUUAAGUUCACUGACUGAUUUCAGAAUACUACAAAACAUGCUAGUUAGAAUCCUGUCAACUUGACAAUUAAUAGUCUUUUAUAUAUGAAAAACAGUUACCAUUCCAUGUCAAAUGAAAGAUUCAUCAGUCCCCACCACAUGAAAGCAGGAUCUUCUGAAUUUUUCUUAUCAAAACUUCACUUUCAUGAUUUGUUAUGUAUGUGCGCAAAAUAUUGACAGGUGGUUUUUCAUCAACAAGUAAAAUUACUUACUUUAUCCUAUAAAGCAAGUGUCGACUUUAGAGGAAAAAUAUCCCAACCUAUGGGAUCAUUUUACUUUAUGUAAUACUGAUGAGCAAUUCCACAAACAGGACCAGUUCUAAUUUACCCCACUCAAAUUCUGACUAGUGAGCAAGGACCAGAUUCUGAAGACACCCAUGAUGGAAACAAAACCAGGAGAUUAAAGAUUCACACUUUCAAAAUGUUUAAACCUUAAACAGUACCCAAAACGACGAAUUCUUUGAGUAUGAAAAUGAAAGGAGCAGUAAAUUAAGACUACAAAACAAAGUUAAUCAUGUUCAUAAUCAAUUAGUAUAACAGAAUAAUUAUGAUCAAAUAUGUAAUUCACGACAGCAAACAAUUUGGAACGAAAACCAGGUAAAGUUGAAAGGGAACCUUUGGCUUAGGCCUCCGAGGUGGGUGGAAUACGAUGAAGCAAAAUGGAACAAGAAAAGGUGGCGAGAAAAGUAAAAAAGGUCACGGGGUACUAUAUAACAGAGCCAAAAAAAAAAACAGAAAAGGAAAAUAAUAAAGAAAUUGCAUAGUGACAAAAUGAUGAGUAUAUUAUCAGAAUCGUCAUAACAUGAAUUAUAGACUUAUAGUAUCAAAAGAGUGGGACAAACACUUGUGAAUUUGUUGUCGAAGUGAGAGAGGAGUGAGGAACAAGACAAAACUGUUUCGUGGAAGUGUGAGCUAUCGUGCUGUGGACCAUUGCCCGCCGCAAUUUUGGCUGUUUCAUGGGUUAAUGGUUUUACGUUCCUACGUACAACGUAUGUUGUCAGCAACUUUUUGGCUAAGUACCAUGUAUGUAUGUAGGUUACUUGAUUGUUCUUCUACAUAAUGAUAAUAAAUUAUACUCCCUCCUAGCUUAGUUAUAAAUAUAACAAAACAAAAAAGUUUGAUAAAUCUAAAGAUAAGUAAAUAUUAACUAUUGGAUGAGAUUCUUUCAAAAAAAAAAAAACUACUUUGUUAGGGAUUUGAGAUUUUAUUUUUUAUUUUUGAUAUCAAAGAUUAUAAUUGUAAAUGUGAUCAGUAGAAUUAAUAAUAUUAACUCACUUUCUCAACUAACGCAAAAAAUAAUUAAUUUUACUUGUAUUUGAGUGGAGUAAGCAUUUUUUACUUAUUAUUGGGUGAAACACACUUGUGCAUCUAACCAAAUCUUUAAAAAUGUUAAAUUUUAGAUUUUAGUUUUCAAUAAAUCCUGGGCCCAUUCUUUUAAGCAAAUAUUUAGAUAUGUUUAGCCUAAUUAAUUUUGACUUAAAAGCUACUUAUAAAUUUAAAUUAAAAAUAAGAGCUUAAAAAAUAGAAGUUGUUUAUUAUUUUUUAAAGCUUAAAAGCUCCUUUUAAAUAAAAAUUUGUUUAGUAAAAAAAUAUUGUAAUUUUUUAAGAACUAGUUAUCUCAUAUAAUGAAAACAUAUAAAUUAAAAAUAUAUUUAUUUUUUAAAAAAAUAUUAUGUAAAAUUAAUUUAAUUUGGCCAAGUUAAAAUCAAUGUAGUUAAAUAUACUUUGGUCAAAACUAAAUUAUUCCAGCAAAGUUAUAAAUACCCUAAUCAAGGCUAAGAUGAAAUUAUUCCAGCAAAGCCAAGUUGAAGAUGUGAUCACGGUGGAGUUAAAAAUAUUUGGAUGGGUUGGCCAGUCUUAAGCCCUAACCCAACCUUUGCUAUAAGUUGGGCAUGACUAUUGUAUUCUUAUAAUUGCAUUUUGGAAAUUUAAAUUUAUAUUUCAGAAUGAACUUUUCACAAUGAAAAGGGCAAAAUGAUAACCAAAGUGCAAUUGAUGAUGGAGGAUAAGGCCUGACAAUGAGUAUCUGCACCCUCAUCCACCGCUCCAAAACCCUCACUCAGCUCCUCCAACUUCACGCCCUCUUCCUCAAAACCUCCCUCGACCACCACCCUUUCUUCAUCUCCCAGUUCCUCUUACAAUCCUCCACCAUCUCCCUCCCUUUCGCCGCCUCCUUCUUCCACUCCCUCCCCACCCUCCCACCCCUCUUCGCCUGGAACACCCUCAUCAGAGCCUUCGCCGCCACCCCAACACCCUUCCACUCCCUCACCCUCUUCCGCCUCCUCCAAACCUCUCCCCUCAACCCCGACAACUUCACCUACCCUUUCGUCCUCAAGGCCUGCGCUCGCUCUUCCUCCCUCCCCCUCGGUGGGACCCUCCAUUCUCUCACCCUCAAGACCGGUUUCCGUUCCCACCGCCAUGUGGGUAAUGCCCUUUUGAACAUGUAUGCGGAAUGCUACGCUGUUAUGUCCGCGCGCAUGGUGUUCGAUGAAAUGACUGAUAGAGAUGUUGUCUCCUGGAGCUCCUUGAUUGCUGCCUACGUCGCUAGCAACUCCCCCUUGGAUGCUUUUUACGUCUUUCGUGAAAUGGGGAUGGAGAAUGAACAGCCGAACUCAGUCACGUUGGUGAGCUUGCUAUCUGCUUGUACUAAAACGCUCAAUCUCAGGGUCGGCGAGUCCAUUCAUUCGUACGUUACAAGCAAUGGCAUAGAAAUGGAUGUUGCGUUGGGAACAGCCUUGUUUGAGAUGUAUGCUAAAUGUGGGGAGAUUGAUAAGGCUCUUUUGGUUUUCAAUUCAAUGGGUGACAAGAAUUUGCAGUCGUGCACUAUCAUGAUCUCGGCUCUCGCGGAUCACGGGCGAGAAAAGGAUGUUAUCUCUUUGUUUACCCAGAUGGAGGACGGUGGAUUGCGGCUGGAUAGUUUGUCUUUUGCCGUGAUUCUCUCGGCCUGCAGCCACAUGGGACUUGUUGAUGAAGGCAAAAUGUAUUUUGAUCGGAUGGUGAGAGUGUAUGGCAUAAAACCGAGUGUUGAGCAUUAUGGAUGCAUGGUUGACUUGCUAGGAAGAGCUGGCUUCAUUCAAGAAGCUUAUGAUAUCAUCAAGGGCAUGCCCAUGGAGCCCAAUGAUGUUAUAUUGAGGAGUUUUCUUGGGGCUUGCAGAAAUCACGGGUGGGUUCCUAGUUUGGAUGAUGAUUUUCUGUCUGAACUGGAGUCUGAGUUGGGGGCCAACUAUGUGCUCACUGCUAAUGUUUUUUCCACCUGUGCUUCAUGGAAGGAUGCCAAUGACUUGAGGGUAGCCAUGAAACUGAAAGGGUUGAAGAAAGUUCCUGGUUGUAGUUGGGUGGAGGUGCAAAAUUGAUAUUUAAUAUACCUUUGAGAAGAAGAUCCGCUAUAAGUUUGGUACAGAGAAAAUGUGGCUUUUAGAGCCCUUUAUGUGCAUUCUUCCUGUAUUCAUUGACUUGUUGAUUGCAAAUAGAAUAGAUAGAUGCAUUAAGAUGCUCUGACUGUUAGAUGUUAGGAGUUAGGACUGACCUGGAAUUGUAAAUAUAGAUGAGUUUAACUCAGGUUUCAACUCUUUUUUUAGGUAGUUCUUAACCUUCCAACUUUCCAAGUUGUGUUCAUGUUUUAAGCUACAAAUUUUGCAUGAAUGACAUAUGCAGUAAACAUUAGGAAGCACCACUUCUGUGAUUUUGGUUGCCAAAAGCAUGCAAAGCCACCGACAAUAAUGGUGGCUCUAUACUUUAGUAAUGACUAUUGACUAUUCAGAGUAAAGAAGUUUGGCAGAGUUCUAGAUCAUUCUGGAUGUAAGAAAACCUGGUAUUCAAAGCAUCUAGGUUUCUGCAAAUCCCAAUUUUGAUGAAUUUAAUAUAUGAUAUUUAAUUUGCUGGGCCACAACAUUUCACGUUUCAUGAUAGUCAAGCCAAAAUUUGAAAUGAUUUUUAAAAUUGUCACUGGAGUAAAAUGAUGGUACACGUAUUCCAUGUGUGGUUAGUCUCAAUGAAUGAGCAAGGUUCAUUUUUUUAAGGGAUAAAAUGCUGAAUAUUAUUGAUGCAACCAACUAGCAGAAAUUACAUCGUUUGAGAUUAUCUGAUCCACUUGGUAAGGACCUCCUCAAUCCAACAUCAAUCAAAAUAGGUCAAAGAUAGUGAAACUAAACAAUGUACUGUCUGGUUCCCCUGUCUUUUGGUAAAAACAAGGAUUGGAAUUUGAAUUGGGCAAAAGCUUCCUACACAUCUACAAUGCCAUGCAACAAAGACUGGCCCUGGUCUUCUCUCUUUUUCCAUUGUUGGACCAGCUGAAGGCAGUCCGAGCAAGGUUCAUUAGAAGAAAGAGUGAUUUUGACUUGAGUUCUAUUUUAAAAGUGAAAACAUUAUUAUUAUGCAUAUAUUUUAUUUUUAAUUUAAUUGCUAACAUGAAGUGAAAAAAUUUAUUACAAAACUAUUUUAAUUUGUUAAUGUAUAUCUAAAUAGCUAAUAGAAAAAGAAGUUUAGAUAAAGAAUUAUAUAUGGACAUUAAAAUUUAUAUUGGUAAUUAAAUAUUUAAAAUUAAUUUUAAUUAAGAAUAUUCAAACAAUAUUCUCUCUGCAAAAAAUAUUUUUUUGAUUUACUUUGUCUGAAAGAAAACACAUUGAUUGAAACUUUUGCAAUGGGUUCUUUGGUUUGGUAGUUUAGUUAUUUAGCAUUGUCAGCAUCAGUAACCAACAAAGAAAAACCAAGUGGUCCUCUACUCUGUUAGUACGUGCUGCAGAAACAGGGGCAGGAAAAUAUUAUUUUUCUGAUACAUUAUUUAUAAACGUUCACCCAAAUUCACACCAACCAAUAAAUCUUGUCACUGUAUGUUUGUUUGCACAUUAUCAUGAUUUUUCAAGUUUAACCAGAGGGCCUAUUAGUUGGUUAUAAAUUUCACGUUUUUGUGCUACAUUAACGUCUUUCUUUGCUUUCUAAUUAAUCAGUAUUUAAACAUGCACAAAAUCAGGAUGAGUUAAAAUCAAAUAUAUCCAGAGAUAUCCUAACACGUUAAACAACACUGCAAUCAGCAUUUCUUACUUGUCACUUCUACCAAUGAUGAAAACUACGUGAGGUUAUUCACAGCAAUGUCUCCUCCCUACUUUUAUUCUAGACCAGUAAUCUUUAAUUUCUUGAUUAAGCAUUAUUGCUAUUCCAGAACAAAAAGCAAAUCGCAAGCUUGACGUUCUCGUAUUUUAUUUAUAUACUCAGUGUAGUGUUGUGCAUAUUGUCAACAGCUGAGACAAUUUCCAUUUUUACCAUACGUUACUGUUUGGCCAGUGCGUGUAAUACAAUUAAUUGUGAUAUAAAUUAUUUUUAAUUAAAAUUUGAAUUAAUAAUGAUACAAAUUAUUAUUUUUAAUUGUAAUUAAAUUAAUUAUGAUACAAAUUAAUAUUAUUAUAAUUAAUUUGAUUAUUAUUAAUAAAGGAAAUUUAUAUAAUAAUUAAUUUGAUUACUUUUUAUAAAUGGUAAAUUCUAUCAUAAUUAAUUCAAUUUUAAUUAAAAAAAUAAUUUAUAUGAUAAAAAAGUUAUCCUUUUUAAAAUUGAAAUUAAAUUAAUUAAGAUACAGUUUAUCCUUUUUUAAUGGUAUUCAGUAUCAUUAAUUUGAUUGGUUUAAAAAGGAUUACUUAUCACCAUUAAUUUGAUUGGUUUAAAAAGAUAAGCCAUAUCUACAAUUAAUUACAAAUUCUUUCUGUAAAAAUUUAACCCAUUUUCUUUGUGUAAGAGUAAGUAAAAAAAAUACACAACAAAAAUAUACAUUUCCAUGAUAUAUUUUAACACAACAAAAAAAUCAUAUUAUGUAUUAGAUUAAUGGAAACAUGUUUUUGUUAUGUAAAAGGAAAGGGGAAAAAAUAACAAAUGAAACAUGAUUCUAUUGAAAAAAUAUAUAAUUGAAUUAUAUUUUCAUUAUAUAUUUUAUAAAUAGAAUCGCGUUUAUGUGCAAAGAUAUUUUUAGAAAAUGAAAUUUAAAGCACACUUUGGAUGUCAAUAAAAAAUUUAGAAGUAAGAAUAGCAAUUCCCUAAGAUGCUUGAACAUUUGUGGACAAUACAUGUUUGAUACAAAUCUGGCUGGGAAUUCUUUUAACGUAACUAUAUUACAAAAAAUGUUUUCUUUCUUGAUUAGUUUAUAAGAUAAAAAAUACUAACUAAUGAAAAACAAAAAAAUAAAGGCAACAUUUUGAUUUUUUAUCAAACUUAUCCAAAAGCUCCUUAAUCAUGGCUAAGCAGCAAGUCCAAAUUAUUUUAGACCAUCUCAAACAAUGACUGGUAAAUGCUCCACAUUGACCAGAGUAUUAUUAUUCAUAAUCACAUGCUCUCACAUGUCCUCACCACAAAGGCUUGGAGAUUUUCCUAUUAUAUAUUUAGCCUUCUAGUUCUAGUAAUAAUUUCUCACCUAAUUAAUUACAUAACAUUUCUUUUCAGACCCACAAAAAAAAAGGGAAAAAGAAAGAAACCCAUGAUUUUUUCCAUUGAAAAUAAAUACAAACAGACAGCUGUCCUUGUACACCCCUCCACACAACACAAGAACAUUAACAACAACACACUAAGUACUCUCUCACUAGUCACUACUUUACAGCACACUCUUGACUCUUAACUCUCCCUCCCAGUUUCAUGGCUUCUUCAGGGACAAGAGCAGCCUCAGGCUUCAGCUUCUCAGAGAUCUGGCUCUUGAUAGUAGCCACAGCACUCAUCUGUGGCUUUCUCGGGUACAUAGUUUAUGAUGCAAUCAUGGCCACUGCUUCUGAGUUGCUGCAACGUUUGCUGGUAAUUUCUCCACUGUUCUUGAUCAUCAUUGUUCACUGGCUCUCCACUGCAACCCAAAUAAGCUUCCCCAUGCCAGGAUCUGAGCCUAGUGCCAUCCACAGAGCUGGUGGUUCCCCUUGGGGUGUUGCCUUUGUUCUUCUUCUGCUUUUCCUUCUCAUUUCUUACCAACCUUCCCUGCAUGACCUUAUUUCUUAGCUAGCAUGCACUCAAGGUUUUAAAUACGGUCGCGGUCAUAUUCGUUGAUAUCGGAUAAAUGCGACCGAUGUGGUUCCAAUUUCGAUUGUGUUACAGUCACGGAGACCUUUUUUAAAACCUUGCAUGUACUAUAUAGUUUAGUGCAUGUCACUUUUGUGUAGGGGUGUGGUGCUUCUUAUUUUAGAGUUGAUAUGGGUACAUUUGGUUGCUGUACUGUAGCUCAUAAUGGACCUGUUAAUUUCUAUGUGAAUUUGGGUGUAAAAACUUGCAAUGUCUCUCUCUCUAAAAGGGCCUUUUGCCCUAUAGCAAAAUUUUGUGGCUGCUUAAAGUGUCAAGUUUCGAUCUUUGCUGGCCUAUGGCGGGUGUUUGUCCUUUGUUACUGAGAAAAUUGAAAUGUCAUGGUGUGUCAAACAUCAAAAUUACUAAGGAAUUGGACUAUUAGAGAAACUAUGUAUCUUUUCUUUUAGACUUCAUCUGUUGGUGUUCAUAGCUAAAUAUAAAAUUUAAAUAAAUAGCGUAUUGCUUGGUGGUAAUUUUUCUGUCUUGGUAGAAAGAGUUUAAUUCUCAUGAUUUACACUUACAAAAGGACAGAUUCUUUUUCCGCUAGUCUCAUCUGAAUUUGAUCUUUCCCCCGCUUUGUAUUGUUUUUUUUUUUUUUUCAUUCAACCAAAAGUCUCACGUUACAUAGAAGAUCAAAGUAGAACAUUUUUCACGAAAUUAAGGAUUUAACUUCUUUUCUAAGUUAAAUGAUGAAUACACUAAAAAUAAAAAUAUAUUUUCUGAAUUAAAACACCUUAUUUUAUUUUUUACCCAUUUAACAUCUUGCUAUUUUUAAAGAGUCGGACUUUUAGUACUAGUAUAUAAGGAUAUUUGCUCCCUCAAUUGACUAAUUCCCAUUUUUCAAGGACUAUUAUAUAAGGAUAAAAAUAUAUGAUGUGGUUUGUUGGAAUUUAUAUUUGACUCGCGUUAGACCAAAAUCAAAUUAUAUCUAUUUAUUUAGAUUGUGCUUGGUUAUAGUUUGUUAAAAAUUUAUGCCUAUUUAAAUACUACUUUAUUACAAAUAGAUUUUUAAGUAAGUUAUGGUGAAGAUUAUUUUUUUUCUCUCACACAGUUUAGUGGCCGUACAAACUCGAGAAAAUUUCGCACAUAUGAUGGGAAUUAAAUACAUACAAAUUAUACAAAUUAUCCUGUUAAAAUAAAUUAUUCUUUCACUUAUGAAAACACAUUAAAAUCUUAUACUAUUGUGUCAAUUUUUUUGAAUUGUUAAGAUUAUAUUAGUUUAUAUUACUCAAUGCUUAUAUGUAAUAGUGUAGGUUUUAAUUUUCAUAUAUUAUAGUUUGUUCUGCAUAAGUUUUUUUUCGUUGAUUAUUCAUCAAUUGACAUGUUUAGGUUAGGUUUUUUUAUAGAAAAUUUAGGAUUAGUUAUACCUAUAUAAGAACUUUAAUAUGAAAUAAGAUUUUAAGUAGACUAAAAGGUUACAAGUUUGUCUUUCAAAAUUAUCAAGCAAAGUUUAGACCUUGAAUUUUUUAAAAUCGGCCAAGACUAUUCAAAUAAAAUUAUGUUUAACCUAACUUAUUCUUACUUAUAAUUUCUUAUCUUUCUGAAAUUAAAUUAAUCUCUAAUAUCACGUAAUUGUCACGUCACACAUGCUGUCAGGUUUAAAAACAACUUAUAAAGUGAAAAUGAGAGAUUAAUUUUUAUGGAUGAACGAUCAAUUUAUAGUUACUUCUAACUCAUCAACAAGCAUUCGAAGUACUUUUCUUACACCAGCCUUGCCAUCAGCAGCCAAUGAAAACAUCACAGGUCUACCAAUCUGAAAUUUGAGAUGAAAGACAAAGGUAUAAAUAGCUGGAAUGUGGGGUCUGCCUCUAAUGUAACAUUAGUAAAACAAUGAAAUAGAAAUUCAUAUUCCAUAAGUUUCAUUGGCAUUUGUGACAAAUCCAUAUUCUGAGGAAAUUUCUAAGUCAGGAUCAUAUGCACUGUGGAACUUAGGAACUGCACCUCUAUGAUGAAUAUAUGCUUCAGUGAGGCAAGAAAGCUUACAUAUACUGUAGUUAAGCAUUCGACAGUUUAAUUUGCUAUGAUUAUGUGAUCAAAAUUUCAUGUACUUAGGAAUACACCAGCUGCUCCAAGAGUGCUUUAAAAACAUCUGUCCCUCGGCGAAUUCCACCAUCCAGAAAAACUGGAAUUCUUCCUUGUGCAGCUUUAACAACCCAUUCAACUCAAGCAAUCGAUAUUUCCAUUAUGUUGAAUGUAUAGAAAUUUGAAAGAUUACAUUAUUCAAUAGGACCCAAAAAUUUAAAAGAAAACGAAAAUGCAACCAUUACUAGUAAGGAAGCGGUUAAUAAUUUAUUUAUUUAUUUGCAAUGAUUCAAAUAUAACAGCUUUGAAGUUUUAAUGCAUAAUCAACUAAAAUCACGCAAAGAAUGGGCAAAAGUUUAGUUCCACUACCAAGAAUGAUAGCACUAGAAGUGGUUCAUUUCUAUUCCAAUUAAUUAAAACAUUCCAGAAAUGAUUAGGAUCUAGUACCUCUUCCAAAGCCAUAAUAGUAGCAGGGACAUAGUCAAGUUGCCGAGCUCCUUGAUUGGAAACAAUGAUCCCAGCAGCUCCAGCUUGUAUGGCUAUCCUUGCUACAUUAUUAGCAUAGUAUAUGGAAUUGGCUUCAUGAUUGAGAAAACAAUCCUAAUAAAGAUAAAAUGGACAGGGAAGCAACAGAGUGUAUCUAUUUGAUAGGUUUACUAUCUUCAACAGUAAGUACACCCUUUAAUAAAAUUGGCAAUGAAGUUAUUGUAAGGAGCCAUUUGAUAUCCUGAAGCAAGAUUACCAUAGUAUUACUUCCACAUUCAGUGCCACAGAUUAGAAAAUUGUAUGUGUGAAAUAUCUAUAUCACCUUCCAGUUGAGUGACCGAUCAAAUAGUACAGCAACAUAAGUGGUAACAACAGAGUCACAAGUCUGGAAUGUAAUCCCAAACAGAAAAUAACAACAGUAACAACAAUAAAGUGACCAAUAAUGGAAAAAACCAACCUAAUUUCAAAAUUUCAUGCCAAUAAUGGAAUAUAGCAAUGUAAUCACAAACCUUGUCCAGCUUUCCAAGAUCCAAUCUUUCAAAAUUCUUAAAUACCAUGUUUGGCGGCAAUGUAAAUCUGAAAAAUACCCCAUGAAGCAUGCCAGUAGUAUAUAUAUCUUAAAGUAGAAAAGUUAUUAAUUCAAUCGUGAUGAACCAUGUAAAGUUAUGUGGAAAGGCUGUUCCGGUUGAAAUUUCCAAAUGGUUGCCAACCUGUUUUUGAUGUCAGCCUCCCUACGACCAAGAACUGGACUGUCCACAGUAAGGGCAAUUGCCUGGAAACCUGCUCUUUCAGCUCUUCUCACAAGCUGAGCAACCACAUUUUUGUCUUUCAACACCUGAGAGAAGAAAAAAAACACAGUAACAUAUUAGGUAUUAAACUGAAGAUUGUUGACAGUUUUGAUAAGGGGAGAUAUUCAUAUUAGUGCUUGCAUAACUGAAGCAAGAAGAAUAAUAAUUUGAUAUUAAGAGGAAGUGUGGAAGGAAAAGAAAUGGUGUGUGAAAGUAACAUCUUUUCUGGGAAAAAUCGCUGGAAAUAAAAUUCAAAUAAUACAUUUCCCUGUGGCAAUUUGCAGGAAUCAAGCCAUUAUUUGCGAAACUCAUGAAAACAUUGGUAAAGACCAAAAAAUCUGAUGGCAUACCUUCAGGGUGAGCCAUCUUUUAAAUGGCUGUUGGAGCAAUCAUGAUAGGCAUUGAUAUUUUCAAAUCCAAUACAGUUGUAGUCAAAUCUAUCUUGCUUACAUCAACAAGAAUACGUGGCUGGAACCUGUUUGAAGUAAACCAAAUAGAUGUUGUGAGAUUAGAAUAUAAAACCACCAAACUAUCAUUAUUUCGCGAAUUUUAUAACCCAAUUUUUUUUUCCACGCAUUUUACAAUCAUAUUUUUUAAUUUUCACGCAUUUUACUGAUCCAUUCAAUGUGAAACGAAGUACUGAGGUGUACCUAAAACCGACAUCAUUUUGUCACCAAUUUUUUCAAAAGGACAUUGUUUUGAUACCAACAUAAUGGUAAAAUGCACAGAACAAAAGCUUGGAUGGUAAAAUGAACAAAAAAAUUAAAAGCAUGAUAGUAAAGUGCGCGAAAGAAACUUAGGUGGUAAUUUUCACAAAACCAUUGAGUGGUAAAAUGUGCAAUUAAGUCAAUUAAUUAAAAGAAGCAUGAGUGCAAUGUCAUUACAGAGGGACAUCCUUAUGUGUGCCAGUAAUCCAAGGAAAGGUGAUUGGUGAACUUAGAGAUUUUGAAUGCAUCAAGAGAAGGUUUCUAGGGGACCAGAACAGAUAAAUGGGGCCCUAGUUCCUAAGAAAAGUAUAUUACAGAAUCCUUGAGAAUGCAUUUCGAUUUUCUUUCAAAGUCCACUGAUCCUCUGCCCCUGAUGCAUAAUAGUCAUAAACCAUCUUUGGCAAUUUUUCCUUUGCAAUUGCCUCAUACUCUGUAACAUUAGUUAUCAUCUCCGUCUUCAUAAGAUUUACUUACAAUGUCCGCAGGAUCUGCUGAAAUUGAGUUUGGAGCAUAGUGUGAUUAAAUAACAUGAAAUUAUAUCAAAUGCAUUCCAAUGCAAAGAUGCUAUGCAAUAUCAAUAAAUGCAAGCAUGAAUAUAUCUGAAGUUCACUGAUUCAUUUUAGAACUCUAUAAAACAUGCUGGUUAGAAUCCCGUCAAAACACAAUCUUGAAUCAAUUAGUAUGAUAAAAUAUGUUACACACACUAAGUUGAAAGAGAAAACAUUUGACUUGGGCUGCCGAGGUGAGGAAUACGAUGAUGCUAUAAAGAAACCAGAAAAAGUGUCGAGAAAAGUGAAAGAGUCACAAGGCAUAUCAAUGAGCGAAAGGAACACAAAAGGGAAAUAAUAAAGAAAUUGGGUAGUGACAAAAUGAUGAGUAUACUUGUUUUUAUUUAAAGAGGUGGCUUAAGUCAACUACAACGAAACUCUACGUGGGAAUUUGAUCCCUACAAAAUCAUAGGAGGCUCCUCUCUGCCAUGGCAAUUCAAGAGCAGUCAAUAUAGCACCGAGUUCUGCCAUCGAAACAGUGCAAGCCCCCAGAUUUUUAAAGAAACCUUUUGCAUCUUUGGAAACCCCUCUAGACGCUGCACUAAUAUCGGCAAAAGUAAAAGAAAGGGGAUAAUUUUAUUUUUUUUUAAUUUAGCAUUUGAGGAUAAAUUUCAAAUUAAGCAUAAGUCACAACGGAUGAUCAGUUAAACAUAUAAAUUAAUAAAGUCAUAAUAUUUUUUUAUAAUUUUAAUUUAUUUUUUUAAUCAAGACUUUAGAGUCAUAAGAAUUUUUUUUAUGACUCUAAAGUCAUAAAGCAUAAUCUUUCUUUUGUUCUAGGACUUUAAGUAGUACAAUACAAAUCCUUUUUGUGUAUAUUUUUUUAAAAAAAAAUUGUAAAUAAAUUUUUAAUUUAAUUAUUUAAUAAAUGAAUGUAUUUUUAAUUUUUAAAUUUUAUUUAAUAUUUUUUUAUAUGAUUUUAUUUAAUGUUUUUUUUAUUUUUAGUAUAUUAUUUUAUUUAAUAUAUUUUCUAUAUUUAAUAUCUUCUAUUUUUGUUUUAAUUUAAUUUUAAUUAAAAUAUGAUUUCAUGUACGCAUGACUCACUUACAUGUCACAUUUAAUACUACGUGACAUCACAAGUAACUGAUCAACAUGUUGAUUAAUAGUCACAUCAAUAAUUAAUAUGAAUUCCUCUUAAUACUAAAGACCUCUACAAAACUUUUUAAAUAUUAAGGACUCAUCAAAACCAAAAUUUAUUAGGGACCAAAUAUAAAAUUUGAGUAUAUAGCAAGGAUAAAAACAUAUUUAAACAAAAAAUAAAUUGAUAAUUCAUGAAAGUGAUUUCCUGUUUUAUACUAAGUUGCUUGGAAAUGUUUCAUUUUCAAGAAAAUGUUCUUGUAUUCACGGGGGAGACUUCUAACACACAUCACAGAAAAGAGAACUAUGGAAAGAAGAAAUGAGGAAAAAAUGAAGCAACCUCCUCGACACUGGAAGUAGCAGUUGAGGAUAGUGUCUGUGACAAAAAUUAUGAAAACUAAUCUACUGGAAAGUAAUUAAGUACAACAAAUGCAUGCAGUUCAGUAGGCAUACAGUCAAAUAAAUAAUAAAACUACAAGGAAACGAAUAUAACUUUUGUCUGGAAAUAAAACCAAAGUGCAUGACAAAUAUGGUAAAAGUUAAACCAUGAUUGUGCCAGCUGCUGAUGCUGCUCUAGCAGUAUCUAAUUCUCCUGCACAAAAGUUGCAUAAUUUGUUUUAAUUCAGAAGUUUUUCUAUGUUGUUGUUAUAGCAAGAAAUAAACUUCAAUUAAAAAAAUAUUAAGAAUCAGGUAUUAAUGCAUUAACAUUAUGAUUAACACAGACCAAUGAAUCUGGUCACAUACCUUCAGGGUGAGCCAUCUUUUGCUUGGCUGUUGGAGCAAUCAUGAUAGGCAUUGAUAUUUUGAAGCCCAAUACAGUUGUAGUCAAGUCUAUCUUGCUUAAAUCAACAAGAAUACGCAGCCGGAACCUGUUUGAAGUAAACCAAAUGGAUAUUGAGAAAAGGGCUUCGGAAUAACAAAGUUGAAAAUUGAUUAAAGGAAGCAUAAGUUGCAAUCUCAUAACACAGGGAAAUCCUAAUGUGUCCUUAGUAAUCAAAGGAAAGGUAAACUUAGAUUUUGAAUGAAAAGUUUCUAGGGGACCAGAAAAGAUAAAUAAAUGGAGGUCCUGGUUCCUGAGAAAUGUAAAUUACAGAAUCCUUGAGAAUGCAUUUCGGUUCUCUUUCAAAGUCCACUGAUCCUCUGCCCCUGAUGCAUAGAAGUCAUAAACCAUCUUUGGCAAAUUUUCCUUUGCAACUGCCUCAUACUCGGUAACAUUAGUUAUCAUAUCCAUCUUCAUAAGAUUUUCUUAUGACGUCCGCAGGAUCUGCUGAAAGUGAGUUUCAAGUAUAGUUAUUAAGUAACAUGAAAUCAUAUCAAAUGCUUUCCAAUGCAAAGAUGCUAUGCAAUGCCAAUAAGUGCAAGUAUGGAUAUUUCUGAAGUUCACUGACUCAUUUCAGAACACUAUAAAACAUGCUGGUUAGAAUCCUUUCAAAACACAAUCUUGGUCAACGUGACAACUAAAAGCUGAAAAACAAGUCUUUUUGUGUCCCUCAAUGGUAUUUCAAUUAACAACAAUAGAAGAGUUGUCUUUUUUGAAAAAGAGUUAUCAUUCCAUGUCAAAUGAAAGAUUCAUCAGUCCCCACCUAUUGAAAUCAGGAUCUUCUUAAAUUUUCACAUCAAAGCUCCACUUUCAUGAUUUCUUAUGUAUGUACACAUAAUUAGCAUGUUUGGUUUCAUGAUUCGGAUGUGAUUUUUCAAAACUAUAGUUAUAGCUUCUACAUCUGAAAUGUGAUUCCUCUAUUCUCAACUUGUUUCCAAACAUGCUACAUCUCUACCAGUGAUAUUUUCAUCAUGUAAAAUUACUUACUUUAUCCUAUAAAGAAAGUAUUCACUUUAGAGGAAACAGAUCCCAACUUAUGGAUCAUUUUACUUUGUGACAUUGAUGAGCAAUUCCUCUAAUAGGAUCAGUUCAAUUUACCCUUUCAAAUUAAGUGAGCUAGGAUCAGAUUCAGAAGAAACCCGUGAUGGGAAACAAUCCAGCAGAUUGAAAAUCCAAACUGUGUAAACUUCAAACAGUGCCCAAAACGGUCAAUUGCAAUCAUUAAGUACCAAAAUGAAAGGAACCGUAAAUUAAGACUGCAAAUCAAAGUUAAUCAUGUUCAUAAUCAACUAGUAGCAAUAAAAAUUUAUGAUCAAAUACUUCAAGUAACAUGGAAUUAAAAUCAGGUACUAAGUUGAAAGGGAGAACCUUUGGCUUGGACUACCAAGCAGCCAAGGUAAGGAAUACGAUAAAGCUCAGAAGGAACAGGAAAAAGUGUAGAGAAAAGUUAAAGAGUCACAAGGCAUGUAACACAGUAACAGAGCCAAAGAAACAUGUGCAAGAGGAAAUGAUAAAGAAAUUGCAUAGGGACAAAAUGAUGAGUAUACUUUUUUUAAGCUUAAUUGCGUUUUUUACCCCCAACAAAAAAAGAACGAGAUUAAAACUGAGGUUGUGUUCCUUUGUGCAUGAGGUGUAUUCGAAAUUCUGAUUGCUCCAUUUGUUUUAGUUAUAAUUUUACUCCCUUCUUUGUCUCACCUUUUCCUUGGUCAGAAGGGUUUAUAAUGUAAUAAAAAACAAAAACAGAAACGAAUUUUUAACUCCUUGAUCUGCAAUCUGCAUAACUUCAUUAGGUUGAAAACUUACGUCCAUUAGAUUUAGAUCAACCAUCCAAUGUAUCGUAUUAAAGUCUGAAACUAGAGUGCAAUGAUCAUCAUCUCAUGGGCAAAGUGCUACAGUUUAUAUCACUUGAUGUUCAGCAUUCUUUACAGUAACUACAAUGGUGCAACUACCAUGUUAAUUGUUGUUUAAGUUAAUUUUUAUAGAUUGAUCAAUAUCACGGUUCUCAAAGAAGGAUUACACGUGGAAGAUCCCGUGAACACACCUGCUUUUUUUCAUAUCUUUGGCUUUGUAUGUCCGUGUUGUUUUCUGUUGCAUGCGUCAAAGGUUAUAAGAUGGCAGAGUGAAGCUAAUAUAUAUAGAUUAUGUGUAUUUUGUUAGUUCUUACGUUUUUUUUUUUUAUCUUAAUACAUUACAAGACAUAGUACCAAACACAAUAUGUUGUGGGUAUUUUCUUUUGAUGGAGGUCUAUGGUUUAGUUUCACCAUGGAUUUUGUUCGUGGUUGGCUCCUAGCAUUGUAAAGUCUCCUCACUCCUGGUUUGCAUUUACAAGGGUUUAGAGUAAUGAAAGUGAAAAAGAGUUGAAAAGAGUGAAAUUAAGAUGAAAGAGGAGAAAAGUUUUUUAAAAAAACAGUGAGACUCACAAGAUGACUUUCAUUGCUCAAAUGAGAUAAAAAAAAAAAGAGAGGUGAAAUGACAUAUUCACUCCCAUGGUUAUGUCUCCCUCUUUUUUUUUUAUCCAAACCUCUCUCCCUUUAAUAAUAAUAAUAAAUUAAAUGAUCUCAAAAAAUUAAUUUUCAUUCUAUUUCUCUAAAACCAAACAACCCUUAUUUCCAUCCUAUUUUUGGCCUACUUUUCUUCUUUUUUUUCUUUUCUUUGCUUACAUAUUCACUCCCACUCCCUCUCCUUCCUCAAAAAAGAUAGAGUGGGGUACCAAACAUUUAAGGUCACCCUACAGUAUAGGAUGAACUUGGCCCCAAGUGUCAUGCGGUCCUAAGCAUCCUUUGAUUCAAAUGUGAUGUGUUUUGUUCUCUAUUCCAUGAUAACCAUCACAUCAAAUGAGAUGGUCUUAGGAGCAUUUUCCAUCCAAAGACAUAUCAAGCAACUUAUCAAAUCGAAUUUGUGUACCUAAAUGGGAGAUAGAUGACCAUAAAACUUAAUCUUUUGCUAAGAAAAAAAGUACAUUUUAUUGGCAAUCAUGUUUCUAGAGUUUACCAAAUCCCAGCACCAAAUGCAACAAAAUGAAAUAGCAAUUACUAACGGAUGACUAAUGCUUGACUCACUGUAACAACAAAGUUUUCCACAGAAGCAUGAAAUAAGAACAAAGGUUAUUCUAAAAUUUCUAUUUUAGAAUAUAGAAGAACAAGGUGGAGUCCUGCCAUCUUAUAACUUGGGAGAAAAUCUUGGGUGAUCCCACUCUGUGAUAACAUGGUCACGAGUUAUCUCCUUGAGCGAACGGCAACCAC